Molecule: ribosomal RNA, 458 nt
Filed under: uncultured bacterium
Lineage: Bacteria
Description: bacterial SSU rRNA
Rfam family: Bacterial small subunit ribosomal RNA
Source: RNAcentral
UACGGAAGGCAGCAGUGGGGAAUAUUGCACAAUGGGCGAAAGCCUGAUGCAGCUAUACCGCGUGUAUGAAGAAGGCCUUAGGGUUGUAAAGUACUUUCAUCGGGGAGGAAAAAACAAAACUAAUAAUUUUAUUUCUUGACGUUACCCGAAAAAGAAGCACCGGCUAACUCCGUGCCAGCAGCCGCGGUAAUACGGAGGGUGCUAGCGUUAAUCAGAAUUACUGGGCGUAAAGAGCACGUAGGUGGUUUUUUUAAAGUCAGAUGUGAAAUCCCUGGGCUUAACCUAGGAACUGCAUUUUGAAACUGAAAUACUAGAGUAUCGUAGAGGGAGGUAGAAUUCUAGGUGUAGCGGUGAAAUGCGUAGAUAUCUGGAGGAAUACCUGUGGCGAAAGCGGCCUCCUAAACGAAUACUGACACUGAGGGUGCGAAAGCGUGGGGAGCAAACAGGGAUUAGAUACC